Engraulis encrasicolus (European anchovy) is the source of this 500-nucleotide long non-coding RNA. RefSeq lists it as uncharacterized. The record is from RefSeq and is a predicted model, not a curated record. The transcript is spliced from 3 exons. NCBI's taxonomy places the organism in Eukaryota, Metazoa, Chordata, Actinopteri, Clupeiformes, Engraulidae.
AACAGCCACCAGCGGUACCACCACGAACCAACUAGCAGCUGCACUUCUUGAACCUGACAGCGUUGGAAAAGGGACGCCACGACACCACAUAUGCAAUAAAAUUCCAAACUUUCCUCCAAAAUGGCGUCCUAGGGCUGGAAAUGCAUCACGUGACAUCAAACCCUACCCUUGACCACCCAAUCAUGGGACUGUGUUACCCUACCUUUCAGCUUAGAGAAGGACAGGGAAGAUGGUGAAAGGAAGCGAGUGGGGAGAGAGAGACGGGGAGGGGCUGGCAAAGGACCCGAGCCCGGAAUCGAACCUGGGUCAGCCGCGUGGUAGACGAGUGCCCUACCGUUUGGUCACGGCAGGGCCCAUCCUGGCAACUGUUAGAAACAACCAUCUUCUUCAGUGAUUUGACUAGUAUUUCUAGAAAGAAGAGGAAUCUGGGGGGCAUUUUUUUCUAGAUACUGUAUGGGUAUAGGCCUAAAUUGUUGUAAUGAUGUUUUUGUGUGAUUUAA